UGUAGGCCAUUUGGUGUUUCGUUAAGUACUAUACUACUUAUUGUCAAGUACUAUAUCAACAAUUGUAUAGAUAUGUAGGGGCCCGUUACGGGUCUAGUCAGCGGGCCUGCCACGGCUCUCUACAGCCCUGUAUGUAGACUCAUUAAUUCAUACCCUACAAAUGAGAAAAAACACUUCUACAAUUUUAAACCAAGUGCAUACGCACUAAAAUACAAAAAUAGGCAAUUUUUUUGUAGGGAUAUGAGGUUGAAAUUUCUUUCAGGAAUGAAAUGUCCAUAUGUUUCUCGUUCACUAGAGUAGAACAACAUUUAGAUAAGAGAACGAGAAAUUCUAAUCCUAGGAGCUCUGUGGAAAAUUCAAGAGUAAAGACGAAAAAGAUGUUGAUGAGCUUCCUAGCUCCAAAAAAUAGAUUGUGGUUUUUGAAAAUCAAGGACAUUAAUUUUUUAGCAGAUUUAGCUGAAAUCGUAUUUAAAAUAAAAAGGUCCACUUCUUAUUCUCAAAUUGUGAACUCUAAAAUGCUUCUGAAUGAUAUAUUUAUUAACAAGCAACAAAAUAUUCAAAUGGCAACCCUCAGAGAACCUUUAAAUUCCAAUUUUCUCAUCUUUUUUUAAAUGAAGAUUUCAAUCUGAAUAUAUUGAUCCUCUCAAAUUUUUAUCAACUAAAAAAACGACAAGUAUAAGUUUUUCUGUCAAAAGCACAAUGUUUAGAAGGUCAAAUUUUGAAUUUGAAUACUGAUAGCUCUGUAGAUUAUUAUAUCUUAUCCAUUAUUGUUAUAUCUUAUCAAUUUUCUUAGAAUUGAAUACAAAUUUCUCUUUUAGCCCUCAAGGCCUCCCUCCCCCUUCGGCUGCCUAUGAUAAUAUUAUCUUCUUUCAAUUAUUUUUCUGGCGCCUAGUCCAAGAGUGAUAAGCUACUUCAUUACAUUCUCGAAUUGCUCUGCUAUGUAAAUACUGUAAUAUUGCUGAUUGACUGACUAAACAAAAAACAUUUUAUGUGUUCCUUCAUUACUUUUUUUCUCCUUUUCAGUAUGGGAGGAAUAGGAAAGAAGAAAUAUAUAAAAAGAGACGUCUCAACAAAAUACGAACUUCAAAAGCAUCUGUGCUUGCUUCAGCAUCAGCCUUUCACUUCUGCAACCUCAAUAACUAAGCACCAGGUGCGUGCAGACUUAUGCACUGUGCGACAAAUGUGCUUUUCUUAACAAGAAUUCGCCAAGUACGAUGAUCGAGAUCAAAGCGUGAGCUUUCCACAUGCUUCAUUGUUGUCGGCGGGAGACUGGCCAGCUUAUUUUGUACAUCUUACAUUACUUGGAAGAACACAUAUUAUUUUGGAGGAUAUUUCUAUAAUUUAUUAUUUAUGGAAUAUUUUGAAUAAAUUGUUUUGCUUAUAUUCUUUGUGAUUUUAAAUGAUGAUAGGAAUUGCUGGUUUUUAUUGCAUUAUUGGAAACAUUAAUAAAUUUGCAAUUUUCAUCACAAAUUCCUUGAAGAAUCACUGAGUGUACUUGCUUUGCUUGCCGGUUUUUUUAUUUGGAUAUGACACCCAUCGAUUGCUGCAAUUAUACCACCGAACCCUCUUGAACGAGCUUUGAAGAUCUGAAAAAAGAUAAUUUCAUUUGUUGGUUUUUUUUUAUUUUUUAUGUAUAAGUUAUAUGAAUGAAAUUCGCUUUAAUUGUGUAGAUUGGAAUAACACAGGUAGAUAGCAUGGACUAAAGGUGUGUUUUCGUAACGGGCAGACGACAGAAUUCACUUUAAAUUAACAUUUGUUCUUAUGGGAGUGUUCACCCAUCGGCAGAAAGUUGAGCAGAAAAAAAGAACUGUUCAAAUCAGAGACGAACUGUCGUUCAUUUCGCCGUUCAUUUUAAGGCCUAUCAUCACAAUGCUAUUUUGCUUCGACCGAUCACUGCUCGUGAACCGUUUUGUCGAAAAAGAACUAAUUUCGGGAUUCUGUCGACGGGAACAGACAGCUUCGAAAUAUUUUUCUGCUCUGAUCACGUGACACCGGCAGAUAAUCUUUCUCUGGAUCAGACGCCAUGUUCUUUUUAACCUCAAUCUUUAAUUUUUGGAUGGUUUGUUUUGAUAUAUUAUUUUGCUGUUGGUUGUCAGAUUUCGGAUUGCUACUAUUAUACUGUGAAAUUAAUUUGUAGUAGAAAAUUGAGGUAUAAAAUAUUUCCAUUGGUUUCUUUAUUUAUAUAAUUUUUACAAGAGAAAUUGAAAAUGGAUUUACAACAGAAAGGCGUGAAAUUCGUUAUAAAUUUGAUGCGACAGUUCAAAGUUUUGUACUUUCCAGACCUGCACAACGAAUUACCUAUUUGAAAAAUAGAAUAUGGUUAAAAAUUGCUGAUGUGAUAGAGGAUUCAAGUACCAUUUACAAACAAAAUAUUGAAGAGAAUGUGCUCGAAAGGAAAUUCAUAUGAAUUCUUUUUUGUUGACCAGGAUGGAAAAAGUCAUUGGAACCCAUAGUUAGAAUAAGAAUAAGUUAGGCCUAGAGGUGUACCAGCCAGAAGUAGAGGAUGACAAAGAAAAUCAACUAUGAAUAAUAUUCCAUGGAUAUGAUUCAUGUAUGAUGUAGUAGCCUACAGAAGAAAGAGAUGGACUAAUCUAAGAAAAUAUAUUCAUUUUUUCA
Molecule: long non-coding RNA, 2616 nt
Organism: Nilaparvata lugens (brown planthopper)
Lineage: Eukaryota; Metazoa; Arthropoda; Insecta; Hemiptera; Delphacidae
Exons: 4
Source: RefSeq, a predicted model, not a curated record